AUCGCUUCUCGGCCUUUUGGCUAAGAUCAAGUGUAGAAUCAGGUGACCCCUGUGAAAGGGUCGUUUGACCCCCAAAGGGGUCAUGACCCACAGGUUGAGAACCGCUGCCCCAUAGCCACUCACUCCAGGCUGAUCUGCAUGAGGUGCCUGUGCAUUGUCAAGGCCAGCUCAUGAUGCUGA
This 180-nucleotide small nuclear RNA is filed under the name Echinops telfairi (small Madagascar hedgehog). RNAcentral's name for it is "U2 spliceosomal RNA (ENSETEG00000026710.1)". The stretch from base 1 to 92 matches the Rfam family "U2 spliceosomal RNA". From Rfam's summary of the family: U2 is a small nuclear RNA (snRNA) component of the spliceosome (involved in pre-mRNA splicing). Complementary binding between U2 snRNA (in an area lying towards the 5' end but 3' to hairpin I) and the branchpoint sequence (BPS) of the intron results the bulging out of an unpaired adenosine, on the BPS, which initiates a nucleophilic attack at the intronic 5' splice site, thus starting the first of two transesterification reactions that mediate splicing. The record is from RNAcentral. Lineage: Eukaryota; Metazoa; Chordata; Mammalia; Afrosoricida; Tenrecidae.